AUCGCUUCUCAGCCUUUUGGCUAAGAUCAAGUGUAGUACCAGUGAUUUUAUUGGUAAUAAUUUUCUUAUUCCUAUUUGUAGUCUUCUCUUU
Molecule: small nuclear RNA, 91 nt
Organism: Equus asinus (donkey)
Lineage: Eukaryota; Metazoa; Chordata; Mammalia; Perissodactyla; Equidae
Gene: U2
Rfam family: U2 spliceosomal RNA
About the family: U2 is a small nuclear RNA (snRNA) component of the spliceosome (involved in pre-mRNA splicing). Complementary binding between U2 snRNA (in an area lying towards the 5' end but 3' to hairpin I) and the branchpoint sequence (BPS) of the intron results the bulging out of an unpaired adenosine, on the BPS, which initiates a nucleophilic attack at the intronic 5' splice site, thus starting the first of two transesterification reactions that mediate splicing.
Source: Ensembl